Molecule: small nuclear RNA, 312 nt
Filed under: Neotoma lepida (desert woodrat)
Lineage: Eukaryota; Metazoa; Chordata; Mammalia; Rodentia; Cricetidae
Description: 7SK RNA
Rfam family: 7SK RNA
About the family: 7SK was discovered as an abundant small nuclear RNA in the mid-70s but a possible function has only recently been suggested.
Source: Rfam by way of RNAcentral
UGGUGUGAGUGUGACCUAACUGUGACAUCUGUCACUCCACUGGUCACCGGGGAUGAUUCAGCACAUCUGACUGCAUAAGAAGAUAUUCCCAUCCUCCCUCCCUUCCCCACAUCUAUCUCUUCAAGAGCUGAAUGUUCAUUUAAAUAGGACAACAUUACAUAGUAGAGAAUCAUUCUUCAACCAAGGUUAUAGGAACCUCCCGUUAGAAGGUUUAAACAGGAUUUCUAACGUCCAGUAUACUUCAAAGGAUCUUUAAUUGGCCUUCAUAACAGAGUGUUGCAUGUAGAGAUUUUUAGGACACAUUUCCUCCAU